UACGUAGGGGGCAAGCGUUGUCCGGAUUUAUUGGGCGUAAAGAGCGUGUAGGCGGUUAGGUAGGUCCGUUGUGAAAACUCGAGGCUCAACCUCGAGACGCCGAUGGAAACCAUCUGACUAGAGUCCGGAAGAGGAGAGUGGAAUUCCUGGUGUAGCGGUGAAAUGCGCAGAUAUCAGGAAGAACACCCGUGGCUAAGGCGGCUCUCUAGUACGUGACUGACGCUGAGACGCGAAAGCGUGGGGAGCGAACAGG
RNAcentral lists this ribosomal RNA (253 nucleotides) under uncultured bacterium. Its description in RNAcentral is "partial 16S ribosomal RNA". It matches the Rfam family "Bacterial small subunit ribosomal RNA", at positions 524 to 776 of the family's 1533-position model. RNAcentral also lists the same sequence under 1 other name. The record is from RNAcentral.